This is a long non-coding RNA of Bombina bombina (fire-bellied toad), 1355 nucleotides long. RefSeq lists it as uncharacterized. The record is from RefSeq and is a predicted model, not a curated record. The transcript is spliced from 2 exons. Lineage: Eukaryota; Metazoa; Chordata; Amphibia; Anura; Bombinatoridae.
GAGGAGUCUGAUAUCGAUAAGGAUGGCACCAUCAAUCACUCAGAAUUUCAGCAUGUUAUUUCCAGAUCUCCUGACUUUGUCAGUUCCUUUAAGAUUGUGCUGUGAUGGAUCCAUUUUGACGGUUUACAGGAAGAUAAUCUCAGUAAAUCGUUAGUCUAGCCAGUAGGCUGACAUUCCUCAUCUGUGAAUGAAUAUUCUAUGGAAUGAUGCAAACAAUCGAAGCACAGGAUGUAACUAUGACAAAUCUUGCAAUAACUACUAAGAAAAUACCUUCAAAAUUAAUCUCAAGUGAAUCUCUGUUAUACUGUGUGUUUCAUUAUUAGCUUCUGUUUUAGAAGUUUAGGCUUUAUUUUUUGUUCAACGAAUGCUUGAUUCUAGAAACAAAGCUGGAUUUAGUUGAAUUUGUAUUCUCUUUCCCAACAUUUCAGGCAACUAUAAGGCUGAAUGUUAUGUCAAGUGUGUUUAAAUAUAUAUAUAUAUAUAUAUAUAAUCGCAAUUUAAUUUUUUUUCAUGAAAACAUUUGCCUUAAACUAAGUGCACUUUAUGGUCUACGUACUGGAUUUUCUAUGAGGUAUUUAAAAGUGAAAUAACCUGCCUGAUUAUAUUAUACAAGAAAUAUAUAUGCAGAAUAUAUUCUACAUGUGCCUCAAAUAAAAUGUUUACUGCUAAUGAACUGGAACAAUAACUUUUUUUGUUUUUAAUCAGCCUUGAUAUUUAUAGCUUUAGAAAAGGGGGGGGGGGGUGAGAGAUUAUAUGAAUGUUUAACAAUUUAAUGUUAACUUGAGAUGAUUAUUUUUUACUGUGACAUUUGUGAUUAAUAUAUGCCACAUGAGAUCAGGAAAAUUCACACCUUUUUUAGUUUUUUUUUUUAUUAUUAGUUAUGGUUAGAAAACUGCUGCACAACUUUAAAAUGAAUGAAUAAAUCCUUGCCUGAAAAAAAACAAUUUUAAAAUAAACCUCCAAUAAUAGCUUGAUUGUGUUAGCAGUAUAUUUUACAUGAUGUAGCACAGAACCUUUAAAAGUAUAUUGUGACUAUUGCUAAUGUAUGGCGACUUUGAAUACAUCAACAAUGUCAACUCUGAAUCUGUUAUACAUACUUUAUGCAAGUAAUAAAUCUGACUGGAAAAUCUAUAAACUGGCCAAGUACAGUUGUAAAUGAGAAAAUAUGCAACUAUUUGUUUACAUUUUAACUUGAAACAAGAAGUCAAAUGUAUGUGGUCCUGUUUAAAUUCUAUCCAAUAUUUAAUUUGCACUGCUUACUUUGCAAAAUGUGCAUUCUACUAGAUAAACAAUUUUACUAAUGCUGAUGGUUUCUUUACAGAAUUUAUAAAUAAAGUUUAAUUUUAAUACAAAAA